Molecule: transfer RNA, 72 nt
Filed under: Fukomys damarensis (Damara mole-rat)
Lineage: Eukaryota; Metazoa; Chordata; Mammalia; Rodentia; Bathyergidae
Rfam family: tRNA
About the family: Transfer RNA (tRNA) molecules are approximately 80 nucleotides in length. Their secondary structure includes four short double-helical elements and three loops (D, anti-codon, and T loops).
Source: Rfam by way of RNAcentral
GGAGGUGUAGCUCAGUGGUGGAGUGCUUGCCUAGCAUGCCAGAGGCUCUGGGUUCAAUCCCCAGCACUGCAA